CUAGUAAUCGCGGAUCAGCAUGCCGCGGUGAAUACGUUCCCGGGGAUUGUACACACCGCCCGUCACACCAUGAGAGUCGGGAACACCCAAAGUCCGUAGUCUAACCGCAAGGAGGACGCGGCCUAAGGUGGGUUCGAUAAUUGGGGUGAAGUCGUAACAAGGUACC
RNAcentral lists this ribosomal RNA (166 nucleotides) under uncultured bacterium. RNAcentral describes it as "partial 16S ribosomal RNA". It matches the Rfam family "Bacterial small subunit ribosomal RNA", at positions 1335 to 1500 of the family's 1533-position model. The record is from RNAcentral.